RNAcentral lists this ribosomal RNA (1021 nucleotides) under Escherichia coli. Its description in RNAcentral is "partial 23S ribosomal RNA". It matches the Rfam family "Bacterial large subunit ribosomal RNA", at positions 1 to 1063 of the family's 2925-position model. Lineage: Bacteria; Pseudomonadati; Pseudomonadota; Gammaproteobacteria; Enterobacterales; Enterobacteriaceae. The record is from RNAcentral.
GGUUAAGCGACUAAGCGUACACGGUGGAUGCCCUGGCAGUCAGAGGCGAUGAAGGACGUGCUAAUCUGCGAUAAGCGUCGGUGAGGUGAUAUGAACCGUUAUAACCGGCGAUUUCCGAAUGGGGAAACCCAGUGUGUUUCGACACACUAUCAUUAACUGAAUCCAUAGGUUAAUGAGGCGAACCGGGGGAACUGAAACAUCUAAGUACCCCGAGGAAAAGAAAUCAACCGAGAUUCCCCCAGUAGCGGCGAGCGAACGGGGAGGAGCCCAGAGCCUGAAUCAGUGUGUGUGUUAGUGGAAGCGUCUGGAAAGGCGCGCGAUACAGGGUGACAGCCCCGUACACAAAAAUGCACAUAUUGUGAGCUCGAUGAGUAGGGCGGGACACGUGGUAUCCUGUCUGAAUAUGGGGGGACCAUCCUCCAAGGCUAAAUACUCCUGACUGACCGAUAGUGAACCAGUACCGUGAGGGAAAGGCGAAAAGAACCCCGGCGAGGGGAGUGAAAAAGAACCUGAAACCGUGUACGUACAAGCAGUGGGAGCCUCUUUAUGGGGUGACUGCGUACCUUUUGUAUAAUGGGUCAGCGACUUAUAUUCUGUAGCAAGGUUAACCGAAUAGGGGAGCCGAAGGGAAACCGAGUCUUAACUGGGCGUUAAGUUGCAGGGUAUAGACCCGAAACCCGGUGAUCUAGCCAUGGGCAGGUUGAAGGUUGGGUAACACUAACUGGAGGACCGAACCGACUAAUGUUGAAAAAUUAGCGGAUGACUUGUGGCUGGGGGUGAAAGGCCAAUCAAACCGGGAGAUAGCUGGUUCUCCCCGAAAGCUAUUUAGGUAGCGCCUCGUGAAUUCAUCUCCGGGGGUAGAGCACUGUUUCGGCAAGGGGGUCAUCCCGACUUACCAACCCGAUGCAAACUGCGAAUACCGGAGAAUGUUAUCACGGGAGACACACGGCGGGUGCUAACGUCCGUCGUGAAGAGGGAAACAACCCAGACCGCCAGCUAAGGUCCCAAAGUCAUGGUUAAG